This 429-nucleotide ribosomal RNA is filed under the name Chloroflexota bacterium. RNAcentral's name for it is "Chloroflexi bacterium partial 16S ribosomal RNA". It matches the Rfam family "Bacterial small subunit ribosomal RNA", at positions 355 to 776 of the family's 1533-position model. The record is from RNAcentral. Lineage: Bacteria; Bacillati; Chloroflexota.
UGGGGAGUAUUGCACAAUGGGCGCAAGCCUGAUGCAGCCAUGCCGCGUGUAUGAAGAAGGCCUUCGGGUUGUAAAGUACUUUCAGUCGGGAGGAAGGUGUCAAGGUUAAUAACCUUGGCAAUUGACGUUACCGACAGAAGAAGCACCGGCUAACUCCGUGCCAGCAGCCGCGGUAAUACGGAGGGUGCAAGCGUUAAUCGGAAUUACUGGGCGUAAAGCGCACGCAGGCGGUUGAUUGAGUCAGAUGUGAAAUCCCCGGGCUUAACCCGGGAAUUGCAUCUGAUACUGGUCAGCUAGAGUCUUGUAGAGGGGGGUAGAAUUCCAUGUGUAGCGGUGAAAUGCGUAGAGAUGUGGAGGAAUACCGGUGGCGAAGGCGGCCCCCUGGACAAAGACUGACGCUCAGGUGCGAAAGCGUGGGGAGCAAACAGG